This 514-nucleotide ribosomal RNA is filed under the name Lactiplantibacillus plantarum. RNAcentral's name for it is "bacterial SSU rRNA". It matches the Rfam family "Bacterial small subunit ribosomal RNA", at positions 63 to 535 of the family's 1533-position model. Lineage: Bacteria; Bacillati; Bacillota; Bacilli; Lactobacillales; Lactobacillaceae. The record is from RNAcentral.
CGAACGAACUCUGGUAUUGAUUGGUGCUUGCAUCAUGAUUUACAUUUGAGUGAGUGGCGAACUGGUGAGUAACACGUGGGAAACCUGCCCAGAAGCGGGGGAUAACACCUGGAAACAGAUGCUAAUACCGCAUAACAACUUGGACCGCAUGKUCSGAGYUUGAAAGAUGGCUUCGGCUAUCACUUYUGGAUGGUCCCGCGGCGUAUUAGCUAGAUGGUGAGGUAACGGCUCACCAUGGCAAUGAUACGUAGCCGACCUGAGAGGGUAAUCGGCCACAUUGGGACUGAGACACGGCCCAAACUCCUACGGGAGGCAGCAGURGGGAAUCUUCCACAAUGGACGAAAGUCUGAUGGAGCAACGCCGCGUGAGUGAAGAAGGGUUUCGGCUCGUAAAACUCUGUUGUUAAAGAAGAACAUAUCUGAGAGUAACUGUUCAGGUAUUGACGGUAUUUAACCAGAAAGCCACGGCUAACUACGUGCCAGCCGCCGCGGUAAUWCGGUCAUAGCUGUUUCC